GUGAAUCAUCGAAUCUUUGAACGCAAAUUGCACUCCCCUCGGAGAGUAUGCCCGUUUGAGGGUCAGCCUAUAAAAAAUCGACAUCGUUGCUGCUUCGUGGUGGCGUUCGUCGGAAAUUGGGUCAUCUUAAUUCUUUCGGUUUUAAGCGAUUUAACAUUUUCUUUUUGGUUACAUGAACGUUUCUAAGAUUUACUUCUUUCGAUGUUUUAGGUAUCGAUUUUUAUUAUAUGUGACUAUCACAUCGGA
RNAcentral lists this unclassified non-coding RNA (246 nucleotides) under Glomeraceae sp. RNAcentral describes it as "partial contains 5.8S ribosomal RNA and internal transcribed spacer 2". The stretch from base 1 to 65 matches the Rfam family "5.8S ribosomal RNA", at positions 84 to 154 of the family's 154-position model. The record is from RNAcentral. Lineage: Eukaryota; Fungi; Glomeromycota; Glomeromycetes; Glomerales; Glomeraceae.